UUGCCUUACUCUUCAUGUAUCUACGCCUUGGAAGGUGGAAUGUUAGGUUAGCUUUACUCCAAUAUCUGAUGGUGGCUGUGGUCUUUGGUUUGUAAGUUUUAUGCCUUGGAAGUAUUAUGUUCUUAUCCUGAUGGUGAGGGGGCUUCGUGGUGCAGUGGUUAGCACACUCGGCUCACAACCAAGAGAGCCCAGGUUCGAUUCCAGGGCAGAGUGGAAAAAUUUGGGUGGCUUUUCCGAUACCCUACGCCCCUGUCCACCCAGCAGUGAAUGGGUACCAGGUAUUAAUCGGGGGUUGUGUCCCGUCUCCUGGGAUCUGUUCUCUUGAAAGGAGAGGGAGGAUACAGGUGGAGGAGGAAUAGAGGAGGGAAGGGAGGGAGGAAGGAAGAAACAAGGAGAGAAAGGAGGGAAGAUGGGAAGGAGGAGGAGGAGGGAAGGGAGGAAGAAAAGGGAAGGAAGGAAUCAAGAAGUAAUCAUGCAAAGUAGAACUGGAAUUUAUAAAGAAUGUAAGUAAGUAAUGAUUUCAAGGUUGCAAGAGUCAUUAAGAGGUUUUGUUGGUCAUAUAAGCUCUGAUAUCAUGCUCUUAUAUGGAGACAGAGCAAGGCGAAAACACGAGAGAAAAGAUACCUUCCCGAAUACCCAUAUAUGUUAACCGUCCGUUGUGAUUGGCACAGAUUUGGCCUUCACUGGUAGCCUGGUAACAUGUACUCCCAGGUCUUUCUCUGCCUCUGUGGUGGAUAGUGGAGUGUUUCCCAUGUGGUAUUGGUAUGCUGGAUAUCCCCUCCCAAGGUGCAGGACUUUACAUUUUCCUUCAUUGAACUGUAGCAGCCACUUUUUGCUCCAUUCCUAUAGCUUGGUGGUGUCUUCUUGUAGGAAAUACGUAGUCAAGGGUUCAAACCAACAACCUAUUGUCGAAAUGGCCCCACAAAGCAGGGGAGGACACAGUGCUGGGAGUUUUGGAGAGAUUGGAGGUAGAAGGAAGGAAACCAUUUGGUAGACCUAGGAAAACGUUGAGAAGGUGUAUACAGGAAGACUUGGCAGUGAUGGUUUGGACAUGUAAAGAGAGCAGGGGAGGACACAGUGCUGGGAGUUUUGGAGAGAUUGGAGGUAGAAGGAAGGAGACCAGUUGGCAGACCUAGGAAAACGUGGAGAAGGAGUAUACAGGAAGACUUGGCAGUGAUGGGAUUGGAUGAGCAUCGGGCAGAAGACAGAGUAGAAUGGAGGAGAGCCAUAAAGUGUCCAACCGCUCAGGAGGAGUGAAAACGGACCUCAAAUGAAAUGAUGAUGAUAAUGAUGUAACUGAAUGGGAAAGGUACUACACAGGAGGCUUCUCUUUUGAUGCUGGUUGUGAAUAAUUUGUGAUGUGGUGAGGGAGAGUUACCCCCGUCUUCUCCCAUUCUUUACAUUUUCUUUUGACUUCCAGGUGGAACUAAAUUAGAAUACCUCAGUUCAGCCACGCCACCACAGCUAGUCAUCACCUUCAUGCUCCAUAACGUAUUCACCCAGGGAAAGAAAAAUGGCUGUCUUAUAUUAGCGACUGUUUUGUAUAGCAACCUCUUAUGCUCAGGCCAACAUUCUAAAACAUUUCCUAAAGGCUAACACACCCACAUUUGGCAAGACUUUCAUAGAGGUUGUUGUGUUAGUAUUUCCAUGGGUAGUUUUGUGAGCCUAGUGAUAGUUUGGCAAGGCUUUCAUAGAGGUUGUUGUGUUAGUAUUUCCAUGGGUAGUUUUAUGAGCCUAGUGAUAGUUUGACAAGGCUUUCAUAGAGGUUGUUGUGUUAGUAUUUCCAUGGGUAGUUUUAUGAGCCUAGUGAUAGUUUGACAAGGCUUUCAUAGAGGUUGUUGUGUUAGUAUUUCCAUGGGUAGUUUUAUGAGCCUAGUGAUAGUUUGACAAUAUCACUGAAUGUAGCCUGGAAAAA
Long non-coding RNA from Eriocheir sinensis (Chinese mitten crab), 1915 nucleotides. RefSeq lists it as uncharacterized. The record is from RefSeq and is a predicted model, not a curated record. The transcript has 4 exons. NCBI's taxonomy places the organism in Eukaryota, Metazoa, Arthropoda, Malacostraca, Decapoda, Varunidae.